AUCUAUUAGGUUGGUGCAAAAGUAAUUGCGGUUUUUGACAUCUUUUAAAGACAAAAAUCACAAUUACUUUUGCACCAAUGUAAUA
Molecule: microRNA precursor, 85 nt
Filed under: Nomascus leucogenys (northern white-cheeked gibbon)
Lineage: Eukaryota; Metazoa; Chordata; Mammalia; Primates; Hylobatidae
Description: miRNA (ENSNLEG00000036023.1)
Source: RNAcentral